AAAGCUCCAAGGUCUCUUGACCAGAAGAUUGGGCUUAACAUGGAUCUUAAACCUUCGGAAGUAAUUGCACAUCCUGAUGCAGAAACAGCAGAAGAUCUGCUAAUGAAGCAAUUUAUGAAGAAGGACUUGGAUCAGUCCAAGGGAGAAUCAAGUCAUCAGAUGGAGAUUUGGAUUGGAGGAUGGAAGGAUGAAAACAUUACAAGAGAUAGGGGAGAUGUUGGGUGUGUGCAGGGAGAGAAUACGGCAAAUUGAGUCGAGCGCAUUUCGAAAACUGAAGAAUAAGAAGAGGACCAAACAAUUGAAGCAGUAUUUAGUUUAGUGAAAUAGGAACUACAGUGCUGAAGCUCC
This 348-nucleotide unclassified non-coding RNA is filed under the name Hevea brasiliensis (rubber tree). The record is from RNAcentral. Lineage: Eukaryota; Viridiplantae; Streptophyta; Magnoliopsida; Malpighiales; Euphorbiaceae.